RNAcentral lists this ribosomal RNA (253 nucleotides) under uncultured prokaryote. RNAcentral's name for it is "partial 16S ribosomal RNA". It matches the Rfam family "Bacterial small subunit ribosomal RNA", at positions 524 to 776 of the family's 1533-position model. The record is from RNAcentral.
GACGAGGGGUCCAAGCGUUGUUCGGAAUCAUUGGGCGUAAAGCGGGUGUAGGCGGCUCUGUAAGUCAGGAGUGAAAGCCCCGAGCUUAACUUGGGAAGUGCUUUUGAUACUGCAGAGCUUGAAUGUGGGAGAGGUUAGUGGAAUUCCUGGUGUAGUGGUGAAAUGCGUAGAUAUCGAGAGGAACACCUGCGGCGAAGGCGGGUUGCUGGGCUGACACUGACGCUGAACUGCGAAAGCUAGGGGAGCGAACGGG